UACAGAGGGGGCAAGCGUUGUUCGGAAUUACUGGGCGUAAAGGGCUCGUAGGCGGCCAACUAAGUCGGAUGUGAAAUCCCCAGGCUCAACUUGGGAACUGCAUCCGAUACUGGAUGGCUUGAAUUCGGGAGAGGGAUGCGGAAUUCCAGGUGUAGCGGUGAAAUGCGUAGAUAUCUGGAGGAACACCGGUGGCGAAGGCGGCAUCCUGGACCAUGACUGACGCUGAGGAGCGAAAGCCAGGGGAGCAAACGGG
This 253-nucleotide ribosomal RNA is filed under the name uncultured bacterium. RNAcentral's name for it is "partial 16S ribosomal RNA". It matches the Rfam family "Bacterial small subunit ribosomal RNA", at positions 524 to 776 of the family's 1533-position model. The record is from RNAcentral.